GUGCUCGCUUUGGCAGCACACAUACUAAAAUUGGAAUGAUACAGAGAUUAGCAUGGCCCCUGCGCAAGGAUGACACGCAAAUUCAUGAAGCAUUCCAUAUUUU
RNAcentral lists this small nuclear RNA (103 nucleotides) under Cervus elaphus hippelaphus. Lineage: Eukaryota; Metazoa; Chordata; Mammalia; Artiodactyla; Cervidae. The record is from RNAcentral.